Molecule: unclassified non-coding RNA, 358 nt
Filed under: soil metagenome
Description: partial contains 5.8S ribosomal RNA, internal transcribed spacer 2, and large subunit ribosomal RNA
Rfam family: 5.8S ribosomal RNA (bases 1-121)
Source: RNAcentral
GAUGAAGAACGUAGCGAAACGCGAAAUGUAAUGUGAAUUGCAGAAUCCCCGUGAAUCAUCGAAUCUUUGAACGCAUCUUGCGCCCUUUGGUAUUCCGAGGGGCAUGCCUGUUUGAGUGUCGCAUUACUCUCAACCCUUGACCGAUCAUCGGCUUGGGCUUGGACCGUGGCCGAACCUGGCCGGCGUCGUAGACGUCUGGCCCGGCCGAAAUGAAUGCGGAGCGAAUGCGCGACCGUGACGACCGAGCGUUGUAGAACCUCGCGAGGCUGUUGCUGGUGUGCUGCUCUCCAGUCAUAUUCUUCGAUCUCAAAUCAGGUAGGACUACCCGCUGAACUUAAGCAUAUCAAUAAGCGGAGGA